Molecule: long non-coding RNA, 6031 nt
Organism: Pezoporus occidentalis (night parrot)
Lineage: Eukaryota; Metazoa; Chordata; Aves; Psittaciformes; Psittacidae
Exons: 16
Source: RefSeq, a predicted model, not a curated record
UGGUGUAAACGCAGUCGCUCUUCCUGUGCUCCUAACGCUGUAGCUCGUGGCUGUUUCUGUGCCAUCUGUCGGUGACGCUGCAAUGACCUGCAGGUCAGGACAGAGUGUUCAUCAAAGGUGGAGGUUACUGUGAGGGCAAGCGUGUCAAUGGAGAAAUUAUGGGGAAUGGAUUUCAGUACUGGGCAUCCACAGGGGCAGUGGAGAAAUGACGUAUUCAAUGAGUGGGGAGCUAUAGUUAAUUGUUCUGGUGACAUCUGUGAUGGACUGUGGAUCAAUGGCUCCCCUGCUGUGUUUCGCAUCCUCUGAGUACUCAUUUCUCCUGGAAUGCAUAGUUCUCUGGACAAGGGGAUGACUAUUUGACCGAGACCUUUCUGCAGGGAGGGAGCUGUUCUCUCAAAUUAAACAUGAAGGUAGACUGAGCCUGUGGAAGUUCUGGAGGAAACCAUGGUGGAGCAAAUGUUUCUGUGAAGAGGACCACAGUGGAACAGAUACUAACACUGCAGCCCAUGAAGAAGGACCCCAUGCCAGAGCAGCUAUGAGCAGUUGUCAUUUGGAGAUCUGGGCUGGCACUGGAAACCACAAAGCCCCAUCAAGUUCUGCUACCAACCUCUUUGAGUUGAUUGAAGAAACCGAGAGGAAAACAGUUAACUUCUGUCAGUUCUGGAUUUGACUGGCUGAUUCACCAGUCCCUAAGACACAUAGGGCCAGAACCUGGAACUGAUACCAGUAUGGAGAUGGAAAUGCUUCAGGCAGUCAGCAUGAGUGCUUUAAUAUGGAUGAGAGUCAUUCUCAUGAGAAAAAUCUUUGCUUAACUAAAGUUACUAUGCACAGAAAGAAGACACCCCCUGCCCCUAACUUCUGGCUUGAUGUCCUACCCAAGUGAUUAGAGUGAUUUAAUUGAAUCGGCUGUAAAAAGAUAAUUAAUUGAUAUUUCACUCCCAGAGAGGUCAAGCUGCCCUAUCUUGAAUGAGGCCAAAAGCCAAGUGGCAGAAUAUCUGCUGAGAAAGCUGAGAAGAUGACAGUCUCACAGGAGAAAAUGGAAGACAGCAGAUCUCACAUGACAACCAAAGAAUGCAAGCUACAAAAGGAUCAGCACCUCAAGGAAUUCUAAGGCAUUACAAGAGACAGCUUCCUUGGUUAGACAAAUCCAAACAUGGAAAUCAACUUUUUGCAAGCAUCAGGAUAAGUGCUGAUAUCUUGGAGUCAGGAUGUGAAAACAAAUGACUUGUAACCCAGCAAAACUUUUGGUGAAAGAUCAGAACACAUUUUUGCAAGAUUUAUGGGCCAGUGUUGUGCUGGGCACCAUAAAUGGGAGUUGACAAACUACAGGACACGAGGUUUAAGCCAUUGACCUCUGACAUUAGGAGUCAUCACAACUGUAUGUUAUCACAUUUGUGUUCAGGAGUUAAAGGCUUUUGCUCUGAGGGAGUCUUGUAAAUGCUUAGCAGAGGUACAGAAAUGCAGUUGUUACUCAGUCUUUAAGCUUUAUUGUUGGUGAUGAGUAGUUAAAUCUCUCAGGCCACUGUGGAUUUUAGUGCAGAAUAUUUGUAAGUCAUCAUUAAGUCUUUGGGUUGUUUGUGCAGAAUAACACAUCUGGUUUUCUUGAGGAGGGUGUCGCUGCUCAGUGACAGUUCAGCUUGAGCAGACUCAGCACUUUUUGCUGCUCCUUUAAUAGUCUAGUAUUCCAAGCUACUUCCCAACUCCAGAAUCUCUGUUAACUGGGUCCAUUUGUGAAACAAAAGCCCUGCUAAAGCAAAAAGGCUUUGGGAUGCAUGGGACGCUGUUCUCAAAUCAAGUAUGUACUUCAGUGUUCUGAACUCAACCCCAAAAUCCUGCAGUGCAUCGUAAUGCGAUAGUGGGGGGAGGAUGGGUGCGUGCAGCUGCGCCUCUGCCUCUGACACAAGCAUCUAAAACACUAGCAGGCCAUUUUAGAAAGCAGGGAAGAGAGGAAUGAAGAGCGGGUGAAGCUGACAGAGCAGAAGGUGAGUUGGAAGUGAUGACUGAAGGGAAGGCCUGAGCUUACUGCAAGUCGAGGCACUGCUCUUGACAAUCACCAGGCUGAGACCUGUCCCGUGUAGAGGAUCACAACAUCCCAUUGUCUUUAUUGCUGUCUGGAAAUUCUUCAGGCUUGUAGCUGACCAGCUGACCCUGCAGGUUCAGGGGUAGGCUCUGUGCAGUGUUGAGUUCAUCAUGCAAUGCAAGCUUCCCAAAUUAUAUGUCAUUCUGAGGGGCACAGAACCAAUUAGCAUAUGGAUUUGUUCUGCAUGUGCAAAUCUUUUCUUGGGCUAAGGAAGUGUCAUUCAGAGACUUGGCUGAAGAAAAGAAGAAAACAGUUUAAUCUUAUAUUGUAAUUGUCAUCCUCUGACUAAUGAUAAGCAAUAUUAUGGCCUGCAUAUCGGCUGUAAUUAAGCAGUGAGACACAACAAGGUGUAUGUUACAGAGAGAUAACACAGUGCUUAAGAGCCAGUGACCUGCAAAGCACAUUAUCUCCCAGCUGCACAAGCCCUACAUAGUCAGUUUGUACACGUUGUGGUGGCAAAUCCACCAGCCCCUCUUCCCCACCUUUAUUCUGCUUUUCAAGGUGCAGAAACUGUGAAGAAUUCUUGUGUUACUGGUUGUGUUGUGUGAUGUUUAAAAAAGCUCCCUUUUUAUAUCAGUCAAUUUCUGCACAUGUAAUAAGCCAGUAUGAAGCAUUCCAAGUUCUCAUUCAGUGGAGCUCUGGGAAAUUAGCAUCACUUAAAAUGAGCCCCUUCAGUGUUUUGUUAGACAAGUAGGUAUGGAGCAUGCAGGGAAGGAUCCAAGCACCACUGACAGCAACUCUUUGUUUGCUCCGGGAAAGGUUUUGUGUUGUUUUCAAAGAUAGCAGAGGGAGCUUUUUGCUGGAACACAGUGUUAGAUGGGACUUGUUUCAAAGUAAAAUUGAUUUUUAGUUAGAAUUAAAGAUUGGAAGCAUGAAGCUCGUACUGUUUGUACUAAACAUGAAAGCCUUUCUUAUCAGAGUACCACUGCACAUGUAGGUGCCUACAUAGGCUGACCAAGCUGAUGCUGCACAAGUGACUUGAGUCUUUGAACAAUCAGAUAAAUGUCUUGAGGCUUAUUCCUUAUCUUACCCCUAAUGAAACUUUGCAGGGUCAAUAACUUGGUUAAUGUUGAUCAAAUUUUCAGUUUAAGUUCAGUCAUGGAUGUGGAUCUACAACCUCUUGAUAUUGGGCAGCUACAUAUGCUUGUAAAAUUAAUACAAAACACAGUAGAUCAAAGUGCUUCAUUUUGUUCCUAUGUCACAGUCUCUUACACUUCCUUAUUCAUGUUGUUUCUCCCCCCCCCCCCCCCCCAUACAAAUUGAAUUCCAGAUAGCAAAUUAGAAUGUCACUGUCAUCUGUAAGCAAACUACUGACAAUUUAGCCUAGGCAGAGGGAGAAAAGCAGCAGUGAGCUGAGGUGGAUACUUCUUUAGCCAAAUGCAGGAUUUCAGCAGUGCAGAAGGACAGUCCUCUCAUAGCCUGGUCAGAAGCAGAGAUGGGUUACUGGGGUUUGAAUAGCACUUAGCCUCUCUGGACACUGGUGUCAGUUGGAUGUCCUAGAUAUUGCUGUAUUAAAAGCAUAAAGUUAGGCUUAGUGCAAGAACAGAGAGACAAGGCAGAGGCAACAGAGACAGAUGUCUCUUCCUCAGAGCCCUUCUACUGGGUGAGACUGUUUCUGAUGACAGCUGUAGCCCUGUAAAUGCCUGCUAGAUGUCUGGUGAUAAUCCAUUCAAAGCAAUUACAAGGCAUCCGUCACCAGCAGGGUCUGAGCCACAGGCUUCUUAUCUGGGAAAAUUGAUGGAAGAGAAGAGGGGAGUGAGGGAAGAAAUCAAUGCCUUUCACCAAUGUUAUCUGCCAAAUUGAAUUAAGCAGCAUGGGAUCCCUGCUUUACACAGUGCAAGAGCUGGAGCUUGAAGAGUCUGUUUGUAGUUAAGCUCAGUUCAUGGGCAAGGCAGGUAGGAGCUGAGGGUUCGUUCUCCUCACUGGCAAUUUCUUGGGCACCUACUAAUGUCAGUGGAACUUGUGUGUGCAAAAGGAGUUCAGAACUUAGCAGCACCCAGAGCCUUUAACCUGGUAGCACCACUUGUGACUUUUGUGUCUGCUCAUGGUCUUAAUGUAUCUUUUCAUGUUCUUCUACUUUUUUUUCUGGGUGUAGCCAAGAGUAUCUCAUUGCUCGCCACAUCCCAGUUUAUACAGGCAAGGGCUGUAGAGAAAGCAGCAGCAAAGAUAACGCUAAUGGGUUCCCCGGAGGCAGUGCUAGUGAAACUAGUGUUUAGAAGUGGUGCACGUGCUGAGUCUGUUGGCAGCGCAGCCGUGCUGCGCAAGCAUGUGACCCAGUACUGAGAUGUACUUGAGAGUUCAUGGCUCUUGAGGUCAGGAGGUUUUGGGUGGGGGUUUUAAUAUGCAAGGAAAUACAGCUUAUUGCUGUGGGGUUUGGUGGUUUGCUUCCCUGAGUGUAUCUGCUUCUCAUUGCACUUGCCUUAUGGGUUGGAAGGAUAAAUUUCAGUUCUGUAUGUCUAACUGCGUACUCAUUUUGCCAAGCACUGUUGAAAUCCAGGAGUGAGGUUCAGGAGAGUUUAACAGAGUUACCAGCUGCAAAGCGACACUUUCCCUUCCUGGGUUGGCAAUUGACAUUUCAAAGGCCACCAGUAUAUUUAUGGAGCUGUUCAGUUCCCUCUUGUGUUGCAGGGUUUUUCUCCUGCAGUUGAUGCGUACGUGCGAUGAGAGAGUUGUCAUCUGGGGAGAGUGCUGGGGGCUGGAGGACCAGGACAGCUUAGGCAGAAGAGGCUCUGGGGACCUAAAAGCAUAAAAUCCUCAAGGUUCUGGAUUGGAGCUGACUCGGCAGAUGCAAAAGUAAGUUGAAGCAGAUGAGCCAGACAACUUGUGGGUACCAGACAGAACAGUUCACCUAAACCAGGCCAGUGCAGAGAUCUGUGGAAACCUUCCGCCUCCCAAGUAAGUGUGUGUGGGAAUCUGCAUUGCAGUCAGGUGAGCUUAAAGUGCACAUAAGCCAUCUAAUAAAAAUUCCCCCAGAGUAUAUGUCACACAGCUGUGUUUCAUUGUAUUUGUGCUCUCUUCCUACUGACAGCGCCUUUGGAGCCACAUUACUCACAUCUCAUCAUCAGCUCUGACAUUCCUGGCUUUUUACUGCUUCCCUGGUUCCUAUCAUCUUCUGCAAGCUUUAUACCUUCCUUGCACACUGGCCAAGGUGUAUUUCUGUAGUAUCUUUUCAACAAAUGAACAUGGGAGCAUGUAAAAAGCAGUUUGGAUACCACGGCAGUAACAAGGGCUUUCCCCUUUUCUACUGAAAAUCCCUACCAAGCCUCUACUCCAUUGUUUUUAUGGGUUCAGUUUUCCGUUUGCUCCAUCUGUUUGGUAUAAAGGGUGCUGCUUGCACUAAAAUGGGAAGGACUGAGGUGCAGUGCUGAACUAGUGUUUAAUCCUCUUUCAGAGCAUUUUUGUUUACAGUGCAUAGACCAUGUUCAGAAUGAGCAGCUCCAAGAGUAUGUACAUGGGCUUGGUUGGGGGUUUUUUUGUUUCCCUUUUUUCCGUGGUGGCUGUUGAAUGAGCCAUGAAGAUGUUUUACCUCAGGCCUCAGGAAAUUUGACUUUGGUUUCUAUGUCCAGCAGCUGGUUUGAGCAUGGGGCACUUCAGCUCAUUUGGCUGCUGAUCUCCCCCUCCUUCCCCCCUUUGUUCCUGUUGAAUGAAAGUUCAUCAGGGCAGGGCCUGUAGCUUGCUAAGGACUUGUUGGGAACUGAGCACAGAGGGGCUGGGGCCCCUGUUAGACUUCUAAACUAUUUCCACUUUGUGAAAUGAAGUUGAACUCAAGGGGUACUUCAGCACGCCACAGUCUGCAAGGCAGGUUUCUGUGUGCACUGCCAGCAUUAGGUGAACUCUGAGUAUCAACUGGUCUCAAAGGAGUUUUGUAGUGCUCGGGAUGAACAGAUCCCUGGAUUGUAGGUUGGGGACUGGGCAGCAGUUUACUGAGCCGUGCUCCUUACCUGUGGCUCA